UACGUAGGUGGCGAGCGUUGUCCGGAUUUACUGGGCGUAAAGAGCGCGCAGGCGGUCGUACAAGUCGCGUGUGAAAGCCCCCGGCUCAACUGGGGAGGGUCACGCGAUACUGUUCGACUCGAAGGCAGGAGAGGGAAGCGGAAUUCCCGGUGUAGUGGUGAAAUGCGUAGAUAUCGGGAGGAACACCAGUGGCGAAGGCGGCUUCCUGGCCUGUUCUUGACGCUGAGGCGCGAAAGCUAGGGGAGCAAACGGG
RNAcentral lists this ribosomal RNA (253 nucleotides) under uncultured bacterium. RNAcentral's name for it is "partial 16S ribosomal RNA". It matches the Rfam family "Bacterial small subunit ribosomal RNA", at positions 524 to 776 of the family's 1533-position model. The record is from RNAcentral.